Molecule: unclassified non-coding RNA, 1697 nt
Filed under: Hevea brasiliensis (rubber tree)
Lineage: Eukaryota; Viridiplantae; Streptophyta; Magnoliopsida; Malpighiales; Euphorbiaceae
Source: RNAcentral
GUUCCUCUUCUUCCCUCUGAAACUGUGGACUCCUCUCGCUCAAAGUCUUUCUAGCGUUCAACCAUUGAUCGCACUUCUCUUUCUCUGUUUCAAUUUCAAAGAACAAGUUUCUUUGCCCAUAUAAAAAGACAAAGAUAAUUAGAUUUGUGUUAUUCCUUUUCUGGGGGGAUUUUUAACACCCAUUUUAUAUCUCUUGACGAGAGGAAGGGACAAAGAGAGAAAGGAUGAUGGCCAAUUGUGACUAUGAAGAGCUGGAAGAAAUGGAUGAUGACCUGGAGGAAGAUGUAUUUUCACCAAACAUACAACAAUGGAAGAGUAUGCCAUUGCUGAACUCAGAUGCCAAGGAAAGAUAUAAUGAUAUUGCUGACCGAAGUCCAGAAGACUCUGCUAAAUUUCCUAAGCACAUAAAGCUGAUGAAAAACACUGACAUUGGAGAUGUUAUAAAAGAGCGAGCUCUUGCUUUCCUUCCAGCCAAGUCACUGUACAGGUUCAAAACCGUUUCAAAAGAGUGGGAUCAGUGGAUCAACAAUCCAUUUUUUGUUCACAUGCAAACUACUCAAUUCAAGGAAGUUUCUGGUCUUUUUUGUCAGCCCCCAGGUGAAAGUCCUUCCUUCAUCUCACUUGAUCCAACUGCUUUUGGCAUUCCUAGUGAAGGCCUCAGUUUCUUGCCUGAACCCGUUGAUAUCAGAACCACUUGCAAUGGAUUGAUCUGCUGUCAAGGCCGUGGUGGAGAUCAAGCCUAUUACAUUUGCAACCCUGUGAACAAGGAAUGGAGGAUGCUGCCCAAGCCAAAAUUGUAUCACGGACCUCAAACAGCCAUAGCACUAGCUUUCGAACCUGCUGUAUUCAACUUUAACGCAAAUUAUGAGCUCAUCUGCGUUGUCAAUUUGCCUGAUACUUCUGUUUUGUGUUUUGAGAUAUACUCCUCGAGGACAGACUCUUGGAGAAUCAGUGAAACAGUUUGCUUUGAGCUGAAUUCUGUAGCAUUGAAUGGUGAUGGAUUCUACAUGAAGGGAUAUGCCUAUUGGGAAACCCAGUGUGAUGCAAUUUUGGCAUUUGAUGUUAAGUAUGAAACUUAUGGGAUGUUCAGUCUCCCGCCUUGCAGAGAACCAACUGGUGCUUUGACAGAGAUACGAGGGAAUUUGUUCUACCUUAUGCCCCGCAAACAAGAUGAAUGCUCAAUUGAAGUCUACGGGGAUAUCAGUAUGAGUCUGAAGCAUGUGAUUCCUCUUGAUCCUAAAGCUCUGGGGAACACGGAUGGGUUGUGCAGGGCUUUGUCUUUUGUGAAUGAUGACACAUUUAUCCUUGAUCUUGAGGGGAAGAUUAUUGCUUAUAAUGCAACAUCACAUAAGGUGGAAUGCCUGAGAAAUGCAAGGAAUUAUGAAGGAUUUGCAAAGUAUCUGCCAUAUGUGAACAGCCUUGUAACUGUUUCCCGCCCGGUGUUUAGCAAAUGGGAGGAUGGCAUCUAGCUGCAGCGUAUGUAGAAACUAUUUUCUACCUUAACAUAUUUUGUCAGUUUACUCCCAAAACCCGUUGAGAGGAUUACUGACUUCCUAAUAUGAUGUUUUUGGUUGUUCAAAUUCAAAAUUCUAUGGAAGUUAACCUAAACGAACUUCCUUUUUGAGCUUGUAAUUUCUUUCAACACCGGUGGUUCUGAAUCAAUGAUCAAAUGAUAUGAACUGGUUUUUUCUUCGAUG